This 253-nucleotide ribosomal RNA is filed under the name uncultured bacterium. Its description in RNAcentral is "partial 16S ribosomal RNA". It matches the Rfam family "Bacterial small subunit ribosomal RNA", at positions 524 to 776 of the family's 1533-position model. The record is from RNAcentral.
UACGAAGGGGGCUAGCGUUGUUCGGAAUUACUGGGCGUAAAGGGUGCGUAGGCGGCCUAUUAAGUCAGGGGUGAAAGACUGCAGCUUAACUGUAGCAGUGCCUUUGAUACUGAUGGGCUUGAGUACAGAUGAGGCUGGCGGAAUGGGUGGUGUAGCGGUGAAAUGCAUAGAUACCAUCCAGAACACCGAUUGCGAAGGCAGCCGGCUAAACUGUAACUGACGCUGAGGCACGAAAGCGUGGGGAUCGAACAGG